GACGAACGCUGGCGGCGUGCCUAAUACAUGCAAGUCGAACGCACAGUUUAUACCGUAGCUUGCUACACCAUAGACUGUGAGUUGCGAACGGGUGAGUAACGCGUAGGUAACCUGCCUGGUAGCGGGGGAUAACUAUUGUAAACGAUAGCUAAUACCUCAUAAUAUUGAUUAUUGCAUGAUAAUUAAUUGAAAGGUUCAAUUGCACCACUACCAGAUGGACCUGCGUUGUAUUAGCUAGUAGGUGAGGUAACGGCUCACCUAGGCGAAGAUAGAUAGGCGAACUGAGAGGGUGGUCGGCCACACUGGGAAUGGGAAACGGGCCAGAACUCUAAGGGAGGCAGCAGGAGGGGAUCUUUGGGAAUGGACGAAAGUCUGAACGAGCAACGCCGCGGGAGGGAAGAAGGUUUUCGGAUCGUAAAGAUCUGUUGUAAGAGAAGAACGGGUGUGAGAGUGGAAAGUUCACACUGUGACGGUAUCUUACCAGAAAGGGACGGCUAACUACGUG
Molecule: ribosomal RNA, 505 nt
Filed under: uncultured bacterium
Lineage: Bacteria
Description: partial 16S ribosomal RNA
Rfam family: Bacterial small subunit ribosomal RNA
Source: RNAcentral